RNAcentral lists this ribosomal RNA (918 nucleotides) under uncultured bacterium. Its description in RNAcentral is "bacterial SSU rRNA". It matches the Rfam family "Bacterial small subunit ribosomal RNA", at positions 8 to 916 of the family's 1533-position model. The record is from RNAcentral.
AGAGUUUGAUUAUGGCUCAGAUUGAACGCUGGCGGCAUGCUUUACACAUGCAAGUCGAACGGCAGCACGGGAGCUUGCUCCUGGUGGCGAGUGGCGAACGGGUGAGUAAUGCGUCGGAACGUACCGAGUAAUGGGGGAUAACGCAGCGAAAGCUGUGCUAAUACCGCAUACGCCCUGAGGGGGAAAGUGGGGGAUCGCAAGACCUCACGUUAUUCGAGCGGCCGACGUCUGAUUAGCUAGUUGGUGGGGUAAAGGCUCACCAAGGCGACGAUCAGUAGCGGGUCUGAGAGGAUGAUCCGUCACACUGGAACUGAGACACGGUCCAGACUCCUACGGGAGGCAGCAGUGGGGAAUUUUGGACAAUGGGGGCAACCCUGAUCCAGCCAUUCCGCGUGAGUGAAGAAGGCCUUCGGGUUGUAAAGCUCUUUCAGCCGGAACGAAACGGUACGCACUAAUAUUGUGUGCUAAUGACGGUACCGGCAGAAGAAGCACCGGCUAACUACGUGCCAGCAGCCGCGGUAAUACGUAGGGUGCGAGCGUUAAUCGGAAUUACUGGGCGUAAAGCGUGCGCAGGCGGAUUGUUAAGCAAGAUGUGAAAUCCCCGGGCUUAACCUGGGAAUGGCAUUUUGAACUGGCAGUCUAGAGUGUGUCAGAGGGGGGGUGGAAUUCCACGUGUAGCAGUGAAAUGCGUAGAUAUGUGGAGGAACACCAAUGGCGAAGGCAGCCCCCUGGGAUAACACUGACGCUCAUGUACGAAAGCGUGGGUAGCAAACAGGAUUAGAUACCCUGGUAGUCCACGCCCUAAACGAUGUCAACUGGUUGUUGGGGGGAGUGAAAUCCCUUAGUAACGAAGCUAACGCGUGAAGUUGACCGCCUGGGGAGUACGGUCGCAAGAUUAGAACUCAAAUGAAUUGACGG